Molecule: small RNA, 117 nt
Filed under: Marmota monax (woodchuck)
Lineage: Eukaryota; Metazoa; Chordata; Mammalia; Rodentia; Sciuridae
Source: RNAcentral
GUUGGGUGUGGAGGUGCACACCUGUAGUCCCAGCUACUUGGGAGGCUGAGGCAGGAGGAUCUCUUGAGCCCUGGGGUUGGGGGCCAGCCUAGACAACAUAAUGAGACCUCAUCUCUA